GGGGUGCACGGCGCGAAAACUUUACAAUGCGGGAAACCGUGAUAAGGGGACACCGAGUGCCAGCAUCAUAUGCUGGCUGUCCAGGUGUGUAAACUACACCUGUUAGCAAGGGCCGGGCAAGACCGGUGCCAGCCGCCGCGGUAACACCGGCGGCCCGAGUGGUGAUCGUGAUUAUUGGGUCUAAAGGGUCCGUAGCCGGUUUGGUCAGUCUUCCGGGAAAUCUGACGGCUCAACCGUUAGGCUUUCGGGGGAUACUGCCAGGCUUGGAACCGGGAGAGGUAAGAGGUACUACAGGGGUAGGAGUGAAAUCUUGUAAUCCCUGUGGGACCACCUGUGGCGAAGGCGUCUUACCAGAACGGGUUCGACGGUGAGGGACGAAAGCUGGGGGCACGAACCGGAUUAGAUACCCGGGUAGUCCCAGCCGUAAACGAUGCUCGCUAGGUGUCAGGCAUGGCGCGACCGUGUCUGGUGCCGCAGGGAAGCCGUGAAGCGAGCCACCUGGGAAGUACGGCCGCAAGGCUGAAACUUAAAGGAAUUGGCGGGGGAGCAC
Molecule: ribosomal RNA, 550 nt
Filed under: uncultured archaeon
Lineage: Archaea
Description: bacterial SSU rRNA
Rfam family: Archaeal small subunit ribosomal RNA
Source: RNAcentral